This 492-nucleotide ribosomal RNA is filed under the name uncultured bacterium. RNAcentral's name for it is "partial 16S ribosomal RNA". It matches the Rfam family "Bacterial small subunit ribosomal RNA", at positions 29 to 507 of the family's 1533-position model. The record is from RNAcentral.
AGUGAACGCUGGCGGCAUGCCUAACACAUGCAAGUCGAACGGCAGCUCAGUAAGUGCUGGCUCUUACGUGUGGCGAGUGGCGGACGGGUGAGGUAUACUCCGGAUUCUACUUUUUCGCGGGGGCUAACGUAGGAAGACUUACGCUAAUACCGCAUACGACCUCCGGGUGUAAGCAGGCGAUCUUCUGACCUUUCGCUGUGGAAUGAGCCGAUGUCGGAUGAGAUAGUUAGCGGGGUUAAGGCCCACCAAGGCCACGAUCCGUAGCUGGUCUGAGAGGGUGAUCAGCUAGACUGGAAGUGAGACACGGUCCAGACACCUACGGGAGGCAGCAGUGGGGAAUAUUGGACAAUGGGCGCGAGCCUGAUCCAGCCAUACCGCGGGGAGGCAGAAGGACUUCGGGUUGUAAAGCCAUUUUGUUGGGAGAGAAAAGCAGCAGGUUAAUCCGCCGCUGUUCUGACGGUACCCAAAGAAUAAGCACCGGCUAACUUCGUG